Molecule: small nucleolar RNA, 128 nt
Filed under: Chinchilla lanigera (long-tailed chinchilla)
Lineage: Eukaryota; Metazoa; Chordata; Mammalia; Rodentia; Chinchillidae
Description: Small nucleolar RNA SNORA42/SNORA80 family (ENSCLAG00000020510.1)
Source: RNAcentral
GCAUAGGCAUAGCUUUAUGGCAGGUCCAUCUCCCUGGAUCACUUACAGUGUCCUGUGACAGCAGACUGCCUCCAGAUCAUUGCUUGGCCUCUGCACCUAUAGGUGACUGGCACUGAAGUGGCACAGUU